This 85-nucleotide transfer RNA is filed under the name Felis catus (domestic cat). It matches the Rfam family "tRNA". Rfam says of the family: Transfer RNA (tRNA) molecules are approximately 80 nucleotides in length. Their secondary structure includes four short double-helical elements and three loops (D, anti-codon, and T loops). The record is from Rfam by way of RNAcentral. Lineage: Eukaryota; Metazoa; Chordata; Mammalia; Carnivora; Felidae.
GUCUGGAUGGCUCAGUUGGUUGAGCACCUGACUUCGGCUCAGGUCGGAAUCACACAGUUUGUGAGUUCGAGCCCCGUAUCAGGCU